This 378-nucleotide ribosomal RNA is filed under the name uncultured organism. RNAcentral describes it as "bacterial SSU rRNA". It matches the Rfam family "Bacterial small subunit ribosomal RNA", at positions 45 to 433 of the family's 1533-position model. The record is from RNAcentral.
GGCCUAAUACAUGCAAGUCGAACGGUGUCUUCGGACAUAGUGGCGCACGGGUGCGUAACACGUAUGCAACCUACCUUACAUUGGGGGAUAGCCUUUCGAAAGGGAGAUUAAUACCUAAUGGUAUAUUUAGCUGGCAUCGGUUAGAUAUUAAAGAUUUAUUGGUAUAAGAUGGGCAUGCGUCCAAUUAGUUAGUUGGUGAGGUAAUGGCUCACCAAGACGAUGAUUGGUAGGGGAACUGAGAGGUCAAUCCCCCACACUGGCACUGAGAUACGGGCCAGACUCCUACGGGAGGCAGCAGUAGGGAAUAUUGGGCAAUGGACGCAAGUCUGACCCAGCCAUGCCGCGUGCAGGAUGAAGGCGUUAUGCGUUGUAAACUGC